This 465-nucleotide ribosomal RNA is filed under the name uncultured Klebsiella sp. RNAcentral describes it as "bacterial SSU rRNA". It matches the Rfam family "Bacterial small subunit ribosomal RNA", at positions 338 to 795 of the family's 1533-position model. Lineage: Bacteria; Pseudomonadati; Pseudomonadota; Gammaproteobacteria; Enterobacterales; Enterobacteriaceae. The record is from RNAcentral.
CCUACGGGUGGCUGCAGUGGGGAAUAUUGCACAAUGGGCGCAAGCCUGAUGCAGCCAUGCCGCGUGUGUGAAGAAGGCCUUCGGGUUGUAAAGCACUUUCAGCGGGGAGGAAGGCGUUAAGGUUAAUAACCUUGUCGAUUGACGUUACCCGCAGAAGAAGCACCAGCUAACUCCGUGCCAGCAGCCGCGGUAAUACGGAGGGUGCAAGCGUUAAUCGGAAUUACUGGGCGUAAAGCGCACGCAGGCGGUCUGUCAAGUCGGAUGUGAAAUCCCCGGGCUCAACCUGGGAACUGCAUUCGAAACUGGCAGGCUAGAGUCUUGUAGAGGGGGGUAGAAUUCCAGGUGUAGCGGUGAAAUGCGUAGAGAUCUGGAGGAAUACCGGUGGCGAAGGCGGCCCCCUGGACAAAGACUGACGCUCAGGUGCGAAAGCGUGGGGAGCAAACAGGAUUAGAUACCCCAGUAGUC